AUGUCGUCGGCCCGUGCCUCGCCAUUGGCCACCACCAGUCCCCGGCCUGGCCCGCCGACUCUCCGUCAUGGCCUUCUCCGACGGCGGCAAGCGGCUGCGGCGGAUAUCAGACACAUGGGCAGCGGUGGCGGGUCGAUUCUCGACUGGCUGGUGGUGUGCGCCGCCGCGCAAGGGCAGAAGCAUCCAAGCGCAGAACCACCGGCACUCCGCCGUCCUAUGUCGCCCAGGUGUACCUCUUGCUUGACGUGCGAUUGUCCUUGCGUCGCCGGCGCCUGGACCCAAUGCCCGUCCAGACCACCGGCGUCCUGCCGUCCCAUGCUACCGGAGCCUUCCGCCCCGCAUCGUCGUCGUCGCCGUCAGGAAAUUCGGCCUGAGCUAGGCUACCACCGAAGCGGACGCGAGAAGGCACCCCCAGCUUCUGUCUAUGCGCCUCCGCAUCAGCUGCAGGAAGAUUUUCACCCACCAAGUCACAUCACCUUCCUAUUCUCAUGUAUACUUGCAUAUAGACAUUAUCAAGUCGUUCCUGGAAACGUAGCCAACCACUGA
Molecule: ribosomal RNA, 546 nt
Filed under: Triticum aestivum (bread wheat)
Lineage: Eukaryota; Viridiplantae; Streptophyta; Magnoliopsida; Poales; Poaceae
Description: partial small subunit ribosomal RNA
Source: RNAcentral